RNAcentral lists this long non-coding RNA (1945 nucleotides) under Chinchilla lanigera (long-tailed chinchilla). RNAcentral's name for it is "lncRNA (ENSCLAG00000028235.1)". The record is from RNAcentral. Lineage: Eukaryota; Metazoa; Chordata; Mammalia; Rodentia; Chinchillidae.
UGAUUACAAAGAUGCUAUUUUUAUCUGGAGGAAAAUUCAAUUAUAGACAUUGACCUUUAAGGAUUUUUUUCCGCCAGCUCACGUGAGGCGGGGCGGUGCGGAAGGGGUGCCUGCGCGUCUCCAGGGACGGUGCCUCCCACGCAGGGCCGAGUUCACGGCCGGAAGUCCGGAGGGGUCUGCGGCGGGGGCAGUGACUGCCUUUUCUCAUCUUUAAUUUUGAGACAGGGUCUUGGUAAUUUGCCAAGGCUGGGUUCAGUGUGGAGAUCCUCCUGCCUCAGCCGCCGUAGUACCUGGGAGGACGGGCGUGUGCCCUGCGCUGUGCCUCUCCUGCGGCCGCGGGCGCAGUGGGCGGUGCUGCGGGCGCCGUCUUUGCGUGGAUUGCCCGCCUGGCUCUGAUCGCGUUUGCUUCUUCCAGAUAAAUCUCCCAGGUGCCGCAGAAGUGGGGUUCAGGAAACGGGCUGGGAAUCCCUGAAAGAUUUAAUUGGCCCGGAAGUGUUAACUGUGUGGGAGCCUUGCUCUAGGUGCUGGGCGGAGGGCUGAGCACAGCAGGGAAGCUGCGGUCCACCCCACAAAGACAGCAGUCGGGUGGCGAUGUGAGCCACGAGUACCAGCCAAGCGGCGAGGGAGACUGGGCGCGGGCGGCAGCCGGAGGGGCCUCGGCCAGCAGCUCAGGUGUCCCAGGAGAGCUGGGGUAAGGGAGGAGGAGGGCGCGGCUGUGCAAAGGCCCUGGGGCAGCACAGAGCAGGCACAGAGCAGAAGCAGAAGGUGCUGGAGCAAAGGCAGAGAGGGCGCAGGGGAGGCAGGGAGGGAACGGGUGGCCGUGCAGGACCCUGCGGGCUGCGGAAGGAUCCCGGCUUUGCCCCAGGGAGGUGGGAGCCGGUGGACAGCAGAGGAAGGGCACAUUGUUCGGUGCCCACAGCGCGCUCUACUGGCCGCUGCGGGAAGGAUAGGCUGCGGGGUGAGGCCCAGGCCGAGGGGUCCCGGCCGACCCGCCGUGAUGGGGCUGGGCAGCGGCUGCAGAGGGAUGAGGGGAUGGGUGGAGCAGCGCCCAUCGCUUGGGGAGCAGGGACCCAGGCCGCGUGAGGAGUGCACCCCGGGAGCAAGGAACCUGCCACGGCGGACGCUGCUGGGCCUGUGGGGGAGAUGGGGUCGGGGAGGCGACCACAGGCUCUGGACCCCGACGGGUCAGCUCUGUGAGGGCCGCCGUGGACGGGGAGGACGGUCCUCGUCUCGGCUGGGCCAGCCCGGUCUGCAGUGGGAGCACCCUGGGGACAAGCUCCUCCCGCUACCCGGUCAGCCUGGAGCUGGGGUGACGUGGGCAGGUCGGGGAGCAGGGCGGGGGCGGGUGGGGCCUUCAUCACGGUUAGCAGGGCUGCCACCCGCCAGCCGCACACCCGGGCACGCGCAGGCCCCCCACCCCACCCCGUUCCCCCCAGCGUCCGUUUUAACCCAUUCGCCCAGAGCACCGUGCGGGGCCCCGUGCGCUGUGCCGCCCUGGGCCGGUCCUGCCCACUCGGGUCACCCGGUGGCCCUGCCCUCCCUGCCCCGCGGCCACAGUCAUGGCCCCGCCGUCUCCGGGUGCAUGGACCCAACCCUGUGGCUGUCCCCUCCUGGGGCUGUGCCACGGUGUGGCCCGCCCAUCAGAAGUCUCCUCGGCGACCGUCUGGGGUCCAAGCUCAGGGCCCUGACACCCGCUGCGCGCCCUUGGGGCUGGUCUGGGGCGGCGCGGUGGGGCAGCGGGUGGCUUCGCAGCCCGGGCUUUGCUCCCUGGUGCCCGCAGCACGGCUCCUCCUGUGGAACCAUCCCCUCCUGGAGAGAGCAGCUGUCACAGUCUGCGGUGAUCGUCCCCGUUGCUCUGCUCGUCUGUCCCUCCCCCAGGAGACAGGCGCAUGGCCAUGCUCCAGCAGCCGCCAUCUGUGAAGACAGAAGAAGCUGGGUCACGUGA